GAUGAACGCUAGCUACAGGCUUAACACAUGCAAGUCGAGGGGCAGCAUGAACUUAGCUUGCUAAGUUUGAUGGCGACCGGCGCACGGGUGAGUAACACGUAUCCAACCUGCCGAUGACUCGGGGAUAGCCUUUCGAAAGAAAGAUUAAUACCCGAUGGCAUAGUUCUUCCGCAUGGUAGAACUAUUAAAGAAUUUCGGUCAUCGAUGGGGAUGCGUUCCAUUAGGUUGUUGGCGGGGUAACGGCUCACCAAGCCUUCGAUGGAUAGGGGUUCUGAGAGGAAGGUCCCCCACAUUGGAACUGAGACACGGUCCAAACUCCUACGGGAGGCAGCAGUGAGGAAUAUUGGUCAAUGGACGAGAGUCUGAACCAGCCAAGUAGCGUGAAGGAUGACUGCCCUAUGGGUUGUAAACUUCUUUUAUACGGGAAUAAAGUGAGGCACGUGUGCCUUUUUGUAUGUACCGUAUGAAUAAGGAUCGGCUAACUCCGUG
RNAcentral lists this ribosomal RNA (489 nucleotides) under uncultured bacterium. Its description in RNAcentral is "bacterial SSU rRNA". It matches the Rfam family "Bacterial small subunit ribosomal RNA", at positions 28 to 507 of the family's 1533-position model. The record is from RNAcentral.